Molecule: ribosomal RNA, 380 nt
Filed under: uncultured bacterium
Lineage: Bacteria
Description: bacterial SSU rRNA
Rfam family: Bacterial small subunit ribosomal RNA
Source: RNAcentral
AGGGAAUAGAUACCCGGGUAGUCCAUGCCGUAAACGAUGUCGACUAGGUGUUGGGGAACUUGAUUCCUUAGUGCCGCAGCUAAACGCAUUAAGUCGACCGCCUGGGGAGUACGGCCGCAAGGUUAAAACCUCAAAUGAAUUGACGGGGGUCCCGCACAAGCGGUGGAGCAUGUGGUUUAAUUCGAUGCAACGCGAAGAACCUUACCUACUCUUGACAUCCAGAGAAUCCUGUAGAGAUACGGGGAGUGCCUUCGGGUAAUUCUGAGACAGGUGCUGCAUGGCUGUCGUCAGCUCGUGUCGUGAGAUGUUGGGUUAAGUCCCGCAACGAGCGCAACCCUUGUCCUUAGUUGCCAGCACGUAAUGGUGGGUAACGUCUAGGG